Molecule: non-coding RNA, 111 nt
Organism: Helianthus annuus (common sunflower)
Lineage: Eukaryota; Viridiplantae; Streptophyta; Magnoliopsida; Asterales; Asteraceae
Source: Rfam
AGACCAUGAUGAGGGCAUUUUCUUAAUAGCUCCUUGAAUCUUUCCCAAGUUUCAUUCAUAUAAGGAUUCCCCGUCCUCUUGAGAAUAUGUAUUAAUAUCAGUCAUUAAUUU